CUACGGGUGGCUGCAGUGGGGAAUAUUGCACAAUGGAGGAAACUCUGAUGCAGCAACGCCGCGUGGAGGAUGACACUUUUCGGAGCGUAAACUCCUUUUAUAUAGGAAGAAGAUGACGGUACUAUAUGAAUAAGCGCCGGCUAACUCCGUGCCAGCAGCCGCGGUAAUACGGAGGGCGCAAGCGUUACUCGGAAUCACUGGGCGUAAAGAGCGUGUAGGCGGAUUAAAAAGUCAGAAGUGAAAUCCUAUAGCUUAACUAUAGAACUGCUUCUGAAACUCUUAAUCUAGAAUGUGGGAGAGGUAGAUGGAAUUUCUGGUGUAGGGGUAAAAUCCGUAGAGAUCAGAAGGAAUACCGAUUGCGAAGGCGAUCUACUAGAACAUUAUUGACGCUGAGACGCAAAAGCGUGGGGAGCAAACAGGAUUAGAUACCCUGGUAGUC
This 439-nucleotide ribosomal RNA is filed under the name uncultured bacterium. Its description in RNAcentral is "partial 16S ribosomal RNA". It matches the Rfam family "Bacterial small subunit ribosomal RNA", at positions 339 to 795 of the family's 1533-position model. The record is from RNAcentral.